GAUGAACGCUGGCGGCGUGCCUAAUACAUGCAAGUCGAGCGAACGGACGAGAAGCUUGCUUUUCUGAUGUUAGCGGCGGACGGGUGAGUAACACGUGGAUAACCUACCUAUAAGACUGGGAUAACUUCGGGAAACCGGAGCUAAUACCGGAUAAUAUUUUGAACCGCAUGGUUCAAAAGUGAAAGACGGUCUUGCUGUCACUUAUAGAUGGAUCCGCGCUGCAUUAGCUAGUUGGUAAGGUAACGGCUUACCAAGGCAACGAUGCAUAGCCGACCUGAGAGGGUGAUCGGCCACACUGGAACUGAGACACGGUCCAGACUCCUACGGGAGGCAGCAGUAGGGAAUCUUCCGCAAUGGGCGAAAGCCUGACAGAGCAACGCCGCGUGAGUGAUGAAGGUCUUCGGAUCGUAAAACUCUGUUAUUAGGGAAGAACAUAUGUGUAAGUAACUGUGCACAUCUUGACGGUACCUAAACAGAAAGCCACGGCUAACUACGUG
Molecule: ribosomal RNA, 497 nt
Filed under: uncultured bacterium
Lineage: Bacteria
Description: partial 16S ribosomal RNA
Rfam family: Bacterial small subunit ribosomal RNA
Source: RNAcentral